RNAcentral lists this long non-coding RNA (720 nucleotides) under Mytilus galloprovincialis (Mediterranean mussel). Lineage: Eukaryota; Metazoa; Mollusca; Bivalvia; Mytilida; Mytilidae. The record is from RNAcentral.
CGAACUAUGAAAAUCAGUUGUAAAAGGCUUAACUCAUCAGAUGGGUACAAAUAUAAAUACAUCUAACAAAAAAAUAGAGUGGACGUGGGCGGGUACUUGUAUAUCCCAACAACAAAAAGACACUAUAAGUACUGAUCUGAGAGUACUCGCAGUUACUGACAGCUAGUUCAAAGCCACUAACAACUAAUAAAAAAAAACAUGCAUCUUAGACCCUGUUCACACUAGCAUUUUUUUUAUCGAUCUAAUUUGAAUCGAUCUAAAUAAAACCAGUUAGCGUUCACAUUAUCUUUAAUCAUAUCGAUCUCUAUCGGUCUAAUAUGAACCACUGCGUUCACACUACAAUUAAAAACGCAAUCGAUCUAACCUUUUUGCCCGUAAAACUGUAAACACUGUGUAUAAAUAGAACUGAUUUAUCAAAUUCAUGUGCUGAUACACUGAUACACACGCUUGGGAAAAAAAUUGGAUAAAGUUAUUGUUUCUCUUGAAUCACAAUUUAAAAUUUUGAUACUGGUGUUAUUGCAGUUUUCUUUAAUUUUGAAAAAAAUAACUGUAGCAACAAAGUUACAACACGACGCCGAAAAUACUGCGGUUCCUGCAAAGAAAAAAAAAUCAACAUAAGAAAAGAAGACACAGAUUUCGCAAAUCUAUGCUAUGGCGAAGACAACAUGUUUACAGUUUGUUUUAAAGGUCUUUUAACAGAGAAAUAUGGGUUAAACAACG